Molecule: transfer RNA, 66 nt
Filed under: Branchipolynoe pettiboneae
Lineage: Eukaryota; Metazoa; Annelida; Polychaeta; Phyllodocida; Polynoidae
Also listed under: 1 other name
Description: tRNA-Leu
Source: RNAcentral
UUCAUGCUGGCAGAUAUAUGCUGUUGACUUAAGCUCGGCCCAUGGAAAUUUUAUUUCCGCAUGACA